Homo sapiens (human) is the source of this 2067-nucleotide long non-coding RNA. Ensembl annotates it as long intergenic non-protein coding RNA 3006. The record is from Ensembl. NCBI's taxonomy places the organism in Eukaryota, Metazoa, Chordata, Mammalia, Primates, Hominidae.
ACCCCUCGCCCAGCGGCCGCGACGCUAUGGCGCACUGGAGUACCCUGUUCCUGGCAGGGAGGAACAGGAAGAGAAGAGUGUGGCCUCCUAGAAAUCUAGCACGGAGAAAGAUUUUUCACCAUCCUGCCUGUGCUCCUGAAUACACACUCAAGCUAGAAACACAGAGCCCCGAACUUAGGACAGUGAUCUGGCCGGCCACUGCCUAGCAAGACUAUCAUCUCAGGAAACCCAGACCAUGAAGGCGAGUACCUUCUAAGAGCCAGCACUGCAGCUGAUCACCAAAUUGGCUAGCUUUUGUGCCUUUUGCACUUGCUUUAGUGCCAACAGGAUAAAACUGUCAAGGACAAAAUCUAAAUGUUUAUUUACGUGGGGAUGAGUCAGGAAGUAGACUUUAUUUUACUGGGCUCAGGGCCAACAACCUCAUUCAGUGGCCUCCAAAACUAAACACUUUGUUGAGGGAGAAGAGAAAUCGCUCCACAAGAGAUAUAGAAAGGACUGGAAUCUCCGCUUACAGAGCUGUGGACUGCCCAGAACUUACAGCAGGGUCAGCAAAUUUUUUCUGUAAAAGGUAAAAUAGUAACUUUAUGGUCUCUGUGGCAACUACUCAGCUCUGUGAUUGUAGCAUGAAAGCAACUAUAGACAAUACCUAAACAAAUGAGCGUGGCUGUGCUUCAAUCAGAUCUUACAUACAAAAGCAGGCAACAGGCCAGCUUUGGUCCACAGGCUGUAGUCUGGUGACUCCUAGUUUAGAGUACUGUUACUGGCACAUCACAGGCACACAAUAAACAUCAAGUAUAUGAUUCAAUGUACAGUGGCAAGAGAACAAACUGUCAUGCUAAAAUCAUUUCAACCUUAAAAAUAAUUCAGCUUUCCCUAUCUUUUAUUGUUACUGAUUACAGUGAUGGUAUUCAGGUGAACACUCUGCCAUUUAGAAUAUCAUUUAGCCUUAGCCUGUGCAGCUAAUGCAGCUUCUUCACACCACACAGCCAUCUUUGACAUAUUUCAACUUGUUAAUGAUUCAUGUUCGCAGCCCUUUUGGCUGAUGCUAUCACUGCAAAGCAGUGAUAUGUGUGAGUCCAUUCAUUACGGUAACAAGCUUUCCCUCAAGCUUUGUUUCUUGCAAUAUCUAUCAUUUCUAGUGUGAUCUCCUCCACUGAUUUUUAAAAAUCCAGUCAACAGUAGGAUUUUCUUGUUGAACUGUGAAGGCCUGUGCUCGGUAGGGACUUUGUGAAUCAUCCCUGCUUGGGUCCCAGAGCUACUGGAGGGCCCAUCACUGGAGUGGCUGGUGAGACCCUCCAGGGCAUGAGAGUUGCUAUGGGCCUCUGUGUGGCUUCUAGAGGCUUCCCAGGGGCACAAAGACUAUGUGACCCAGGUGGAAGCUCGGGAGGCUCACGCUGGACACAUGCUGCACACUCUGGCUCCCCUGUGGCUGCAGCUGCACCCACCUACCCAGCAUUCUCCCCACGACCUGUCCAGCCCAAGCCCACGGCACUCCCAGGGGAGCCCAGGACACCCUCAACUUUUUAGUGGAUUACUAGAGUAUCAGACCACCCAUUUAUCUCUCAGUUCCUCACUCCCACCCCUGCACCCAGCAAGUCACCAAGUCCCCCAGGUGAGUAAACUGGAGCUAACAGCAGUUGGUACUUACGGCAUAUACUGGAUUUGGCUCACUCACACGUGGUAUUCCUAUCUUCAUCUACUGUAUCUUCCUGGACUACAUAAGCUGCAAAGUUAAAAACUGCAUUUCUCAGAUUCCCUUGAGCUAGGUUCCAGACGUGAUUUAUUAUCAGUCAAUCAAACACAUUCGCAUGAGUUUUGUAUAGGGAACAAUGUUAAGUCGGAAGAAAGGCAGAAUGCAAGACACGGUUCUGGAGCCAGCAGCUUUAUUGGUAGCAUCCUGACUCAAUAGGCAGCUUUCCUGAUAAUAGCAGGAACAUCAGCCUCCUUGGUGGCCCACUCAUUGUGUGGCUCUGGAAAUCAUUCCUGGAUAUUCCACCUAGUCUGUUUCUUUAGCUUUCCCAACAACUCUGUGAGCCAUGUAACAUUCUGUAAUAAAUUUCUUUCUGC